UACGUAGGCAGCGAGCGUUGUUCGGAGUUACUGGGCGUAAAGCGUGCGUAGGCGGUGUCUUAAGUUUGUUGUGAAAUCUCCCGGCUUAACCGGGAGGGUGCGGCGAAUACUGAGAUGCUGGAGUGCGGGAUGGGAGAGUGGAAUUCCUGGUGUAGCGGUGAAAUGCGUAGAUAUCAGGAGGAACACCGGUGGUGCAGACGGCUCUCUGGACCGUAACUGACGCUGAGACACGAAAGCGUGGGUAGCAAACAGG
RNAcentral lists this ribosomal RNA (253 nucleotides) under uncultured bacterium. Its description in RNAcentral is "partial 16S ribosomal RNA". It matches the Rfam family "Bacterial small subunit ribosomal RNA", at positions 524 to 776 of the family's 1533-position model. The record is from RNAcentral.